GAUGAACGCUGGCGGCGUGCUUAAAACAUGCAAGUCGAACGGUGAAGGCGGAGCUUGCUCUGCUGGAUCAGUGGCGAACGGGUGAGUAACACGUGAGCAAUCUGCCCCUGACUCUGGGAUAAGCGCUGGAAACGGCGUCUAAUACUGGAUACGAGCUGCGAAGGCAUCUUCAGCAGCUGGAAAGAACUUCGGUCAGGGAUGAGCUCGCGGCCUAUCAGCUUGUUGGUGAGGUAACGGCUCACCAAGGCGUCGACGGGUAGCCGGCCUGAGAGGGUGACCGGCCACACUGGGACUGAGACACGGCCCAGACUCCUACGGGAGGCAGCAGUGGGGAAUAUUGCACAAUGGGCGAAAGCCUGAUGCAGCAACGCCGCGUGAGGGACGACGGCCUUCGGGUUGUAAACCUCUUUUAGCAGGGAAGAAGCGAAAGUGACGGUACCUGCAGAAAAAGCGCCGGCUAACUACGUG
RNAcentral lists this ribosomal RNA (468 nucleotides) under uncultured bacterium. Its description in RNAcentral is "partial 16S ribosomal RNA". It matches the Rfam family "Bacterial small subunit ribosomal RNA", at positions 28 to 507 of the family's 1533-position model. The record is from RNAcentral.